GUGUACUUGCUGUGCUCUCUGCUUACGAGGCUCUUCACCUAAAUCACAGCAAGGCCAACUGCUCCUUGUAACUGUGGAGCUUGGCUCAGAUGUCACUUCCUCAGAGAAUUCUUCUCUGACCGCUUGUUAAGAGUUGAAUUAUGACCUCCUCCCUCCCCCAAAGUAUGUUGAAAUCCUAAUCUCCAGUACUAUUGAAUGUAACUUUAUUUGGAAAUAAGGUCUUUGCAGAAGUAACCAAGUUAAGAUGAAUUCAUUAGAAUUGGCCCUAAUCUGAUGACUCAUGUGCCUAUAAGACAAGGGAAAUUUGGGCACACAGACACACAGAGGGAAGAGAGCCGUGUGAAGACGGAGGCUGAGGUUGGAGUUAUACUGUCACAGAAUACCCAAGCCAAGGAACGCCUGGGACUGCCAGAAGCUGGAAGAAGCAGGGAAAGAUCCUCCCCAGAGGCUGUAGAGGGAGCAUGGUCCUACCAACUCUUUGAUUUCAGGCCCCUAGUCUCCAGGACUGUGAGAGAAUAUAUUUCUAUCGUCUUACACCACCCAGUUUUUAGUGUUUUCUUAUAGUAGCCCUAGGAAACUAACAUACCCCUCUUCCUGAAGUAGCAUCCACAACCCCCUUGCCCUACCAUGUUGGUGUCUAUCCUGUUAUCCUGUUUUAUUGUCUUCAUAGCCGCUUAUGAAAUGCUCAUGGUCAUUCACGGGUUUCUGUGUUCAUUUUUCAUUUCGUGCUUAGCCUUGGCCUCGUUGUUUAAUUUUUUCCCCCAUGGACUGUAAGCUCCUAGAGAGCAAGGACCUUGUCUGUCAUUCUCGGUUGUGCUUGCAAAACACAUUUGUAAUAAUGAAUGGUCAGUGAGAAGAGGAGUAUCAAAGAGCGUGGUUUAUGCUCAUGUGGCUUUGCAGUGCUCCCUGGCCCUCUCUGGGCAGGUGGCUGGAUACCUGCCUUUGAACUUGGAGCAACACUAUUUUUGAAGUAGUAACCGUGGAUAUCUGAAAGGUGGAUUCUGAAAACUUAUUCAGUGCAGGUAACUUUGAGGCUGGUGCCUUAGAUCAAGGAGCCAAAGGUGGCAAGAACAGGGAUGAAAUUAUAUCGAAAGAAAAGUGGAAGAGCACUUUCUUAUCUCUUAGCUACUGGAUCUUCUGUGACACAAAAAUGCAGAUUGAGACUGACACGGAGGCCUUUGUCCCUUUGCCUCUGUACUUUAGUGUGGUAGGGUAAGUAGUAAUGACGAUGUUUCCCAUCCUUACUCAAUUCCUUCAUUUCUCCCCAGAGAAGCUCCUUGGAGUCUGUGAUCUCACAGAUAGAACUGAAUCACCCUCUGUAGAAAGAGCAACAGAAGUGGACAUCACGUGUGACCAUCAGACUUCAAAGAAGGUGCUAGCCUAAGAGUUUUGAGACUGGGAAUGAAGAGGUGAAAUUAAACUGGCCUUUCACCCCAGGAGUUCUCUCUGUAGACAAGUUAAGGCACAGUGACAGGUCUAGCCUGUGAAGAGCAUGGGGAAAAUCGGCACCGGUGAUAUGGUUUGAAUCAGAAUGCACCAUGUAUUUGUGCCUGCACAGAACAGGAAAGAACUGAACAGUUUGCAGACACCUGAAUAAGUGGCACAGCCUGGAUUCAAAGUUGCAAUUCAAAGCUAGAUCUGCCACAUUCUGUGCAGGCGAAGAUCACCCAAAGCAUGGAGAUGCAGGCCUGAGACCUUGUGUGCCUUCAAAGAGCUGACUGGUGAGAGAGGCUGGGAAGAGGCUGAAGUUUAAGUGCACCUGCCCGAUGUGUUCUGGUGGGAGCACACGCAAUCCAUCUCCUCUGCAGGUUGUCUGCGUCGUCCAGAGUUCUCCUAGAGACCAGUGCCUGUUAGCAGCAGGUAAUAAACGUGUGGAAGCAAAUGCUUUCAUUACCCCCGUUAUGAUGUGUCCCAGCAUUCCUCGGACAGCCCGACUUGCCUUUUAUGCCAGAGUAAUAUUUGCUCAUCUAAGAAGCUAGGCUCAAAGUACAAGGAGAAUUGAGAUGAAACUGGCAUGCAACACUGACACAAGAGCUUUGUGUGUCCACAGUACAGAGAAACCUCAUUGGUGUUAUAUUCUGCACAGCCCAGUUUGUUUA
Molecule: long non-coding RNA, 2099 nt
Organism: Equus caballus (horse)
Lineage: Eukaryota; Metazoa; Chordata; Mammalia; Perissodactyla; Equidae
Source: Ensembl